AUGAUAGGAUUCCAUCUUGACCGAAUUCACAUGGUGUUUUUACCUUUAAGCUCAUACAGUUUCUGGUACACGGUUGUUGCUAACUUUAGGAAGAAAUUGUUCGAAGUCCUCUGCCCAAACAACAGAAUCGACUUGAUUGCUGACGAAGCUCAGCUUGUAAUCAAGAAUUUCAAAGCGGCUUUCAAGCUGGCAUACAAGAGAUCACAACUAAAUGUGACUGACAUGGGUGUGUCUUUCCGGAGUGUGUGCUCUUCAACUAAAGAGGCAGAUAGUGGGAUCUUCACAAUGAAGUUGGUACAAGGACAUGAUGGAGACAACACUUUGUGUUUCGAACCCGAGCAUGCAAAGAGCCUGCGCGAGAGUCUAACUUACUACAUGGUUGCUCACCCUUGCAAUGAAAAAACUGAUGCCAGAAACCAAAGAAAUCUUAAGAAAAUAUGGUGUUCCAUUUGA
This 453-nucleotide ribosomal RNA is filed under the name Triticum aestivum (bread wheat). Its description in RNAcentral is "partial small subunit ribosomal RNA". Lineage: Eukaryota; Viridiplantae; Streptophyta; Magnoliopsida; Poales; Poaceae. The record is from RNAcentral.